CGGGUGAGUAACACGUGGGUAACCUACCUAUAAGACUGGGAUAACUCCGGGAAACCGGGGCUAAUACCGGAUAAUAUUUUGAACCGCAGGGUUCAAUAGUGAAAGACGGUUUCGGCUGUCACUUAUAGAUGGACCCGCGCCGUAUUAGCUAGUUGGUAAGGUAACGGCUUACCAAGGCGACGAUACGUAGCCGACCUGAGAGGGUGAUCGGCCACACUGGAACUGAGACACGGUCCAGACUCCUACGGGAGGCAGCAGUAGGGAAUCUUCCGCAAUGGGCGAAAGCCUGACGGAGCAACGCCGCGUGAGUGAUGAAGGUCUUCGGAUCGUAAAACUCUGUUGUUAGGGAAGAACAAAUUUGUUAGUAACUGAACAAGUCUUGACGGUACCUAACCAGAAAGCCACGGCUAACUACGUGCCAGCAGCCGCGGUAAUACGUAGGUGGCAAGCGUUAUCCGGAAUUAUUGGGCGUAAAGCGCGCGUAGGCGGUUUCUUAAGUCUGAUGUGAAAGCCCACGGCUCAACCGUGGAGGGUCAUUGGAAACUGGGAAACUUGAGUGCAGAAGAGGAGAGUGGAAUUCCAUGUGUAGCGGUGAAAUGCGCAGAGAUAUGGAGGAACACCAGUGGCGAAGGCGGCUCUCUGGUCUGUAACUGACGCUGAUGUGCGAAAGCGUGGGGAUCAAACAGGAUUAGAUACCCUGGUAGUCCACGCCGUAAACGAUGAGUGCUAAGUGUUA
RNAcentral lists this ribosomal RNA (736 nucleotides) under Mammaliicoccus sciuri. RNAcentral's name for it is "bacterial SSU rRNA". It matches the Rfam family "Bacterial small subunit ribosomal RNA", at positions 103 to 825 of the family's 1533-position model. The record is from RNAcentral. Lineage: Bacteria; Bacillati; Bacillota; Bacilli; Caryophanales; Staphylococcaceae.